Molecule: ribosomal RNA, 566 nt
Filed under: uncultured bacterium
Lineage: Bacteria
Description: bacterial SSU rRNA
Rfam family: Bacterial small subunit ribosomal RNA
Source: RNAcentral
CCUACGGGAGGCAGCAGUGGGGAAUCUUGCGCAAUGGGCGAAAGCCUGACGCAGCAACGCCGCGUGCGGGAUGAAGGCCUUCGGGUUGUAAACCGCUUUCAGCAGGGAAGAAAUUGACGGUACCUGCAGAAGAAGCCCCGGCCAACUACGUGCCAGCAGCCGCGGUAACACGUAGGGGGCGAGCGUUGUCCGGAUUUAUUGGGCGUAAAGAGCUCGUAGGCGGUUCGGUAAGUCGGGUGUGAAACCUCCAGGCUCAACCUGGAGACGCCACCUGAAACUGCUGUGACUAGAGUCCGGUAGGGGAGUGUGGAACUCCUGGUGUAGCGGUGAAAUGCGCAGAUAUCAGGAAGAACACCAGCGGCGAAGGCGGCACUCUGGGCCGGUACUGACGCUGAGGAGCGAAAGCGUGGGUAGCAAACAGGAUUAGAUACCCUGGUAGUCCACGCCGUAAACGUUGGGCACUAGGUGUGGGUCUCAACCAACGAGAUCCGUGCCGCAGCUACGACAUAAGUAGCCCGCCGUCGGGAGGUACGGCCGCGAGGACGUAAACUACAAUAGAUUGACGG